This 257-nucleotide ribosomal RNA is filed under the name uncultured prokaryote. RNAcentral's name for it is "partial 16S ribosomal RNA". It matches the Rfam family "Bacterial small subunit ribosomal RNA", at positions 524 to 780 of the family's 1533-position model. The record is from RNAcentral.
UACGUAGGUGGCAAGCGUUAUCCGGAAUUAUUGGGCGUAAAGAGCGCGCAGGUGGUUGAUUAAGUCUGAUGUGAAAGCCCACGGCUUAACCGUGGAGGGUCAUUGGAAACUGGUCGACUUGAGUGCAGAAGAGGGAAGUGGAAUUCCAUGUGUAGCGGUGAAAUGCGUAGAGAUAUGGAGGAACACCAGUGGCGAAGGCGGCUUCCUGGUCUGUAACUGACACUGAGGCGCGAAAGCGUGAGGAGCAAACAGGAUUA